This is a long non-coding RNA of Apis dorsata (giant honeybee), 844 nucleotides long. RefSeq lists it as uncharacterized. The transcript is spliced from 2 exons. NCBI's taxonomy places the organism in Eukaryota, Metazoa, Arthropoda, Insecta, Hymenoptera, Apidae. The record is from RefSeq and is a predicted model, not a curated record.
UUGUUCGUUUAUCCUUAAUUUCGAGAGUGAACGAUGAGAGCCGAAGUUGAAAACCGAGAAUACCCGAAUGAUUGUCGGAAAGGUACGACGAACGCGCGCGAAAACUACCGAAGUUAUCCGCGCGAAAGCCGUUAGGUACGAUCAGUCGUAGUUUGUCGAUCAAAGAGAGAGGAGUAUUAAUUUUUCCUUUCCGACACGUGUGUUUAGUUCUAUCAUUUAUAUAAAUUUUUACAUUUUAAAAAACACAUUCGAAACGUUUGAUUCGAUUGAACUUUUACAUAACAUAAGAUUGUAGUCAUAAAUUGGGAAUGUGAUUGUUUGAUGUGAAGUAACAUAAAAAUUUAAAACAUUUUCUGACGAAUACUGCAAGUGUUAGUGAAUAAAAAAAAUUGUAAAUUUAUGACAUUCGUGACUGGAAAUGUAUAUUUGAGAGGCUAGAACAGAAGUUUAAUAAUUAUCGAAAUGACAAAGGAAAAUUAAUUGUUCGGGAAAACAUUUUGGUGUUGUGACUGCAAUUGAUUCUGAUUAGCGGAUACGUUGUCUAGUCGAGCAUUAAUCAUGAACUCGCAGUUAUAACCGGGUGUCUCGAGGUCAGGGUCAUGUUUAGCGUACACGGAGAAAGCGGGAAAAAAGAAACUGUGGUCGCCUUAUCCAACCGAGGAGAAACGGCUCUCGGAUGAAGAGAAAAAGCUGAUUGGGACAUGAUCGAAGGGUGAAAAAGUUGAAAGAAAGUUAGCCUCUGUUUCUGCCAGGAAGGAAGAAGCUGUUAAUGAAACUUAUCUUCAAUUUUCACCAGAUGGAAAUCAGAAAGAGAUAUAAGUAAUUCUAAAUAAAAUAUUAACAG